Molecule: long non-coding RNA, 634 nt
Organism: Vigna angularis (adzuki bean)
Lineage: Eukaryota; Viridiplantae; Streptophyta; Magnoliopsida; Fabales; Fabaceae
Exons: 3
Source: RefSeq, a predicted model, not a curated record
UCUUUUCUUAGGUCAUUUUAUUAUUUCUUUUAUCAAGCUUUCCAAAAAAAAUGUCUUUUCAACACACACCAACCUUUGGAACAAAUUCUCCAUUUUUUCUAACCAUAUUGUUAGUAUUAAGAACAUGAACAAGUCUAACCAUUCCACUUGGCCUUCCAAAACAGGUUAUGAUUAAGGACUCUCCAAAUGACUCUACCAUGACUCAAGAUGAUUCUCCAAUACCUCUUCAAGGAUAUAUCAACGCUGCUCACAACCUAUUAUAAUUCCAAUAUGGGAUCCAUCUUUGAUGGAUAUAUAGUGUACGUAUAUCAGUGUUGCUCAAUCCUUCCCUGCUCUAUCUCUCAAUCAGAUCUGGUAUCCUCUCAAAAUGCUUGGCCAAUUGCUAUUCAAAACGGUCUUCAGAUGAAGUUGUAUUUGGCCUAAAGUGGCGACAAACAAUUAUUGAUGAUAUGUGUGUCAUUCAAAAGUAGGGGUCCUCGGGAAUCAAUUCCUCUUUCAGUUGGCAAAUCAAUUGUUAGGUGUUAGUGGUUGUAAACUCAUAAAAUAGGACUUGACAGUAACAUUAAUAGCUAUAAAGCUCGGCUGGUUGUUGAAAGAUAUACACAAAUCUAUGGUCAAGAUUAUGUUGACAUUU